CUUUCCCUGCCUGGUUCGCCAAGGCCAAUAGUUCCUUGAACCGAUGCGCAAGCAUCAGGAACGAUCUUUACCUUGUGGGCGUGAGCGUUUUGCGGGUUCACAGUGCCAACUCAGACUUGGUUUCUCCCUGAACUCCUUAAUGCACCCGAAACAAAGUAGCCGUUCCACCUUGAACCUUUGGGUUCAGGAUGACGGCCUAGCGGCUAAGGCGGGGAAUUC
RNAcentral lists this non-coding RNA (219 nucleotides) under Polynucleobacter tropicus. RNAcentral's name for it is "Polynucleobacter sp. MWH-UH21B 6S RNA". It matches the Rfam family "6S / SsrS RNA". From Rfam's summary of the family: E. coli 6S RNA was the first non coding RNA to be sequenced, but its function was unknown until recently. It consists of 184 nucleotides that fold into an extended hairpin structure with a large single-stranded internal bulge. Lineage: Bacteria; Pseudomonadati; Pseudomonadota; Betaproteobacteria; Burkholderiales; Burkholderiaceae. The record is from RNAcentral.